UACAGAGGUGGCAAGCGUUGUUCGGAAUUACUGGGCGUAAAGGGCGCGUAGGCGGUUCGUUAAGUCCUGUGUGAAAUCCCCCGGCUCAACUGGGGAACUGCACAGGAAACUAGCGGGCUUGAGUUCGGGAGAGGGAAGCGGAAUUCCUGGUGUAGCGGUGGAAUGCGCAGAUAUCAGGAGGAACACCAAUAGCGAAGGCAGCUCGCUGGGACGGUACUGACGCUAAGGCGCGAAAGCGUGGGGAGCGAACAGG
Molecule: ribosomal RNA, 253 nt
Filed under: uncultured bacterium
Lineage: Bacteria
Description: partial 16S ribosomal RNA
Rfam family: Bacterial small subunit ribosomal RNA
Source: RNAcentral